This 75-nucleotide antisense RNA is filed under the name Streptomyces viridochromogenes. Its description in RNAcentral is "ASpks sRNA". It matches the Rfam family "ASpks TB sRNA". Lineage: Bacteria; Bacillati; Actinomycetota; Actinomycetes; Kitasatosporales; Streptomycetaceae. The record is from RNAcentral.
CUUGAUCGAACCCAGCCACAGCGGACGGUCGGCCUGGUGCUCCUGGCCGUAGGUGGCGAGCAGCGCCUGUGCCUC